CCACGUUCCCAUUUCUCACAUUUGUUAAAUCCAUCAACUAGCAAAAAAAGAAAGAAAAAAUAAGAAAGAUUUUAGCCCAAACAUGUUAACCUGAAGACUGAACAGAUUCAUGUAUGCAUUAUGCUUGACUUUUGGAACUCAUUAUGACCAAAACAGACCAGGAAACAACAAAACUGGAGAUAAAUAACAAUUCGGAGAUCUAAUAAAUCAAGAGGAUUCCUUAUGAAAUAAUUUAUAUAUCAUGGCACUGAACGACAAGGCCAAAAAAUCACAUUACCCAAAAAGCGAUGAUUGAGACAGACCUGAGCAUUGGAAAAGGCUGUCCACCUGGCCAAAAUGAAUAAUGCAGUUGGACGGUGCAAAGAAGUAAGAAAAGGCCACUUAAAAGAGCACUACAAUUUUGAUCUCACCUGGCAACAUUUUUUAUGAAUUUGGUUUUAAUGUAAAGAGAAAAAGUUCUUAAAGGCAUUUGAUAGGUGCCCAUUUCAAAAUAAACAUGCAUACAAAAAGCCAUUGCAUAUUACAGCAAAUUUUAGAGCCUACGGUGGUGAGCCAUGAAUUUGGUUCUAACAAGGC
This 576-nucleotide long non-coding RNA is filed under the name Phoenix dactylifera (date palm). RNAcentral describes it as "long non-coding RNA (PDAC_LNC021401)". The record is from RNAcentral. Lineage: Eukaryota; Viridiplantae; Streptophyta; Magnoliopsida; Arecales; Arecaceae.